AGAGAGAGACAUGCGCGCAUAUCAAUAAGCGGAGGAAAAGAAACUAACAAGGAUUCCCUUAGUAACGGCGAGUGAAGCGGGAAGAGCUCAAAUUUGAAAUCUUCAAGGUUUUACCUUGACGAAUUGUAGUUUAAAGAAGUGUUUUCUGCUGAAGUUUUGGUAAAAGUUCUUUGGAAUAGGACAUCAUAGAGGGUGAGAAUCCCGUAUUUGACCAUUAUUUUCAGCUUUGUGAUACACUUUCAAAGAGUCGGAUUGUUUGGGAAUGCAGUCCAAAAUGGGUGGUAAAUUUCAUCUAAAGCUAAAUAUUGGCGAGAGACCGAUAGCGAACAAGUACCGUGAGGGAAAGAUGAAAAGAACUUUGAAAAGAGAGUUAAACAGUACGUGAAAUUGUCAAAAGGGAAGCGUUUGACACCAGUGUUGUUUUCUCGAAAAUCAAUUAAAAAUGGCUCGAUUUUGUAUUGCUGAGACCUAAAAGCUCACUGUACAUUUUUCGUGUCUUUUUUAAUGCACUUUUCGUUUAACAAGUCAACAUCAGUUUCUUUUGUUGUAAAAGGGUCAUUGGAAGGUGGCUUUCUUUUCGGAGAAAGUGUUUAUAGCCUUUGGCCUCUGCAAUCGAAGAGACUGAGGUCUGCAGCGUAGACUCUUCGGGGUUAGAUACAUUUGUGCUAAGUUAUAGCUUUUUAUAGACAACUUGUUGACUAUAAUUAGUCUUGUAGCUUACUCGCUUAUGCUAUUUUACCUACGCUUAGGAUGUUGAAGAUGUAGCACAUUCAU
Molecule: ribosomal RNA, 774 nt
Filed under: uncultured Neocallimastigales
Lineage: Eukaryota; Fungi; Neocallimastigomycota; Neocallimastigomycetes; Neocallimastigales
Description: partial large subunit ribosomal RNA
Rfam family: Eukaryotic large subunit ribosomal RNA
Source: RNAcentral